CAGCAGCCACGGGAAUACGGAGGAAGCUAGCGUUGUUCGGAAUUACUGGGCGUAAAGCGCGCGUAGGCGGUUACUCAAGUCAGAGGUGAAAGCCCGGGGCUCAACCCCGGAACUGCCUUUGAAACUAGGUAACUAGAAUCUUGGAGAGGUCAGUGGAAUUCCGAGUGUAGAGGUGAAAUUCGUAGAUAUUCGGAAGAACACCAGUGGCGAAGGCGACUCGCUGGACAAGUAUUGACGCUGAGGUGCGAAAGCGUGGGGAGCAAACAGGAUUAGAUACCCCUGUAGUCCCUGUCUCUUAUAA
Molecule: ribosomal RNA, 301 nt
Filed under: uncultured bacterium
Lineage: Bacteria
Description: partial 16S ribosomal RNA
Rfam family: Bacterial small subunit ribosomal RNA
Source: RNAcentral